CCAAUUAUCGUUUUCCCAAGAGACUCGAAUGGCUUUCUCUUUCACGUGAGUUAAAAUAAUAAGACUUGAAAAUAAAAAUUAAUAAAUUGGAUUUGAGAGCAAAAAUAUUAACAUGCAAAAUAAAGUUGAUUCAAUUGACAAAAGAAAACAAUGGAUGAAUGGAUGUUGUCGGGGAUUUACAAUUUCAUCUAAUCCGCUCUCUCUUACCUACUACCCUCGAAUAUUAGUUUGAUUGAUUCAAUUGUUAUGCGACUUUCUUAGCCUCCCCUUAACCCGAUCCCUCGNN
This 286-nucleotide long non-coding RNA is filed under the name Vigna radiata. RNAcentral's name for it is "long non-coding RNA (VRAD_LNC013526)". Lineage: Eukaryota; Viridiplantae; Streptophyta; Magnoliopsida; Fabales; Fabaceae. The record is from RNAcentral.